This 278-nucleotide long non-coding RNA is filed under the name Vigna radiata. RNAcentral's name for it is "long non-coding RNA (VRAD_LNC007942)". The record is from RNAcentral. Lineage: Eukaryota; Viridiplantae; Streptophyta; Magnoliopsida; Fabales; Fabaceae.
GCUUCAUCUUCUUUCCAACCGUUUGAUCCUAGCCACGUGGUAGCUCCGAUCAGUUCCUCCAUCAUCUCCGGUCAAGACGUGCUCCAGCCCUUCUCUAUCUUUCACUUUCUUCUCGCACAAGAGCCCUAGCCCUAGCACGUGGGUUUUCUUUCUUCUCAAAUGCUCUCGCUAGAACUUUUUCCAAAAGAGUAUCUCGAAUGUGCUUCUCAAAUGAAUCGCAAAAUUGAGACCCCCAAGCAGCUGACAGCCUCCAAACGGUACCGUUCCACUAAAAGUCA